RNAcentral lists this unclassified non-coding RNA (289 nucleotides) under Hevea brasiliensis (rubber tree). Lineage: Eukaryota; Viridiplantae; Streptophyta; Magnoliopsida; Malpighiales; Euphorbiaceae. The record is from RNAcentral.
GGAUUUAGAAUGGUCUCGGACCGUCUGCACACAUCACAAGUUCUGGCAUGGUCUUUCGAAAUAUCUGAACUUAACUGGACAAGAUCAGAGUUAGUUUCUGGUAAUAUGCGCAUAGCAGUCGGCUUUGAAAGCGUCUCCUUGACCCGAGGAUUCUGUUGGGAAGAAAGCCUAAGUCUUUCAUUGGCAGCAUUCAUCUCCUGAUGCACGGAUUCUUCUAUAUUAUCUUUCCUCAAUGAUGAAAUCCUAGACGAUGCAGCAGCUGCAGCAGUUGCAGCAGCCAGUACAGUCU